GAUAGUGAACCAGUACCGUGAGGGAAAGGUGAAAAGCACCCCGGAAGGGGAGUGAAAUAGAUCCUGAAACCGUGUGCCUACAAGUAGUCAGAGCCCGUUAACGGGUGAUGGCGUGCCUUUUGUAGAAUGAACCGGCGAGUUACGAUCCCGUGCAAGGUUAAGCAGAAGAUGCGGAGCCGCAGCGAAAGCGAGUCUGAAUAGGGCGCAUGAGUACGUGGUCGUAGACCCGAAACCAGGUGAUCUACCCAUGUCCAGGGUGAAGUUCAGGUAACACUGAAUGGAGGCCCGAACCCACGCACGUUGAAAAGUGCGGGGAUGAGG
This 321-nucleotide non-coding RNA is filed under the name Rhodobacteraceae bacterium PD-2. Its description in RNAcentral is "Bacterial large subunit ribosomal RNA". It matches the Rfam family "Bacterial large subunit ribosomal RNA", at positions 486 to 809 of the family's 2925-position model. The record is from Rfam by way of RNAcentral. Lineage: Bacteria; Pseudomonadati; Pseudomonadota; Alphaproteobacteria; Rhodobacterales; Paracoccaceae.